ACUCUCCCACAUCACCUAGUUAUAGUCCAACAUCUCCGAGCUAUAGCCCUACAUCUCCUAGUUAUAGCCCAACAUCGCCUAGCUAUAGCCCUACUUCGCCUGCCUACAGCCCCACUUCACCUGCCUACAGCCCCACUUCGCCAUCCUACAGCCCCACUUCGCCAUCUUACAGCCCCACUUCGCCAUCAUACAGCCCCACCUCACCUUCUUACAGUCCCACCUCGCCUUCAUAUAGCCCCACCUCACCAAGUUAUAGUCCAACUUCUCCAUCAUAUAGUCCCACUUCUCCUGCAUACAGUCCUACCUCCCCUGGUUACAGCCCAACAUCUCCCAGUUACAGCCCAACAUCACCAUCUUAUAGUCCUACAUCACCAAGUUACAAUCCCUCGGCGAGAUACAGCC
Molecule: long non-coding RNA, 402 nt
Filed under: Nicotiana benthamiana
Lineage: Eukaryota; Viridiplantae; Streptophyta; Magnoliopsida; Solanales; Solanaceae
Description: long non-coding RNA (NBEN_LNC015233)
Source: RNAcentral